This 74-nucleotide transfer RNA is filed under the name Felis catus (domestic cat). It matches the Rfam family "tRNA". Rfam says of the family: Transfer RNA (tRNA) molecules are approximately 80 nucleotides in length. Their secondary structure includes four short double-helical elements and three loops (D, anti-codon, and T loops). RNAcentral also lists the same sequence under 2 other names. Lineage: Eukaryota; Metazoa; Chordata; Mammalia; Carnivora; Felidae. The record is from Rfam by way of RNAcentral.
GCCUGGCUGGUUCUGUCGGUACAGCACCCAGACUCUUAAUCUUGGGGUUGUGAGUUCAAGCCCCACGCUGGGUG